AGUGAACGCUGGCGGUAGGCCUAACACAUGCAAGUCGAACGGCAGCGCAGUAAGAGCUUGCUCUUACGGGUGGCGAGUGGCGGACGGGUGAGGAAUACAUCGGAAUCUACUUUUUCGUGGGGGAUAACGUAGGGAAACUUACGCUAAUACCGCAUACGACCUACGGGUGAAAGCAGGGGAUCUUCGGACCUUGCGCGAUUGAAUGAGCCGAUGUCGGAUUAGCUAGUUGGCGGGGUAAAGGCCCACCAAGGCGACGAUCCGUAGCUGGUCUGAGAGGAUGAUCAGCCACACUGGAACUGAGACACGGUCCAGACUCCUACGGGAGGCAGCAGUGGGGAAUAUUGGACAAUGGGCGCAAGCCUGAUCCAGCCAUACCGCGUGAGUGAAGAAGGCCUUCGGGUUGUAAAGCCCUUUUGUUGGGAAAGAAAAGCAGCAGGUUAAUACCCCGCUGUUCUGACGGUACCCAAAGAAUAAGCACCGGCUAACUUCGUG
RNAcentral lists this ribosomal RNA (492 nucleotides) under uncultured bacterium. RNAcentral's name for it is "partial 16S ribosomal RNA". It matches the Rfam family "Bacterial small subunit ribosomal RNA", at positions 29 to 507 of the family's 1533-position model. The record is from RNAcentral.